This 465-nucleotide ribosomal RNA is filed under the name uncultured bacterium. RNAcentral's name for it is "partial 16S ribosomal RNA". It matches the Rfam family "Bacterial small subunit ribosomal RNA", at positions 338 to 795 of the family's 1533-position model. The record is from RNAcentral.
CCUACGGGAGACAGCAGUAGGGAAUCUUCCACAAUGGGCGCAAGCCUGAUGGAGCAACACCGCGUGAGUGAAGAAGGGUUUCGGCUCGUAAAGCUCUGUUGUUGGAGAAGAACGUGCGUGAGAGUAACUGUUCACGCAGUGACGGUAUCCAACCAGAAAGUCACGGCUAACUACGUGCCAGCAGCCGCGGUUAUACGUAGGUGGCAAGCGUUAUCCGGAUUUAUUGGGCGUAAAGCGAGCGCAGGCGGUUGCUUAGGUCUGAUGUGAAAGCCUUCGGCUUAACCGAAGAAGUGCAUCGGAAACCGGGCAACUUGAGUGGAGAAGAGGACAGUGGAACUCCAGGUGUAGCGGUGGAAUGCGUAGAUAUAUGGAAGAACACCGGUGGCGAAGGCGGCUGUCUGGUCUGCAACUGACGCUGAGGCUCGAAAGCAUGGGUAGCGAACAGGAUUAGAUACCCCGGUAGUC